Molecule: ribosomal RNA, 301 nt
Filed under: uncultured bacterium
Lineage: Bacteria
Description: partial 16S ribosomal RNA
Rfam family: Bacterial small subunit ribosomal RNA
Source: RNAcentral
CAGCAGCCGCGGGAAUACAGAGGGUGCGAGCGUUAAUCGGAUUUACUGGGCGUAAAGCGUGCGUAGGCGGCUUCUUAAGUCGGAUGUGAAAUCCCUGAGCUUAACUUAGGAAUUGCAUUCGAUACUGGGAAGCUAGAGUAUGGGAGAGGAUGGUAGAAUUCCAGGUGUAGCGGUGAAAUGCGUAGAGAUCUGGAGGAAUACCGAUGGCGAAGGCAGCCAUCUGGCCUAAUACUGACGCUGAGGUGCGAAAGCGUGGGGAGCAAACAGGAUUAGAUACCCCAGUAGUCCCUGUCUCUUAUAA